Molecule: ribosomal RNA, 253 nt
Filed under: uncultured bacterium
Lineage: Bacteria
Description: partial 16S ribosomal RNA
Rfam family: Bacterial small subunit ribosomal RNA
Source: RNAcentral
UACGUAGGGUGCAAGCGUUAUCCGGAUUUAUUGGGCGUAAAGGGCUCGUAGGCGGUUCGUCGUGUCCGGUGUGAAAGUCCAUCGCUUAACGGUGGAUCCGCGCCGGGUACGGGCGGGCUUGAGUGCGGUAGGGGAGACUGGGAUUCCCGGUGUAACGGUGGAAUGUGUAGAUAUCGGGAAGAACACCAAUGGCGAAGGCAGGUCUCUGGGCCGUUACUGACGCUGAGGAGCGAAAGCGUGGGGAGCGAACAGG